ACUCCUACGGGAGGCAGCAGUGGGGAAUUUUGGACAAUGGGCGCAAGCCUGAUCCAGCAAUGCCGCGUGAGUGAAGAAGGCCUUCGGGUUGUAAAGCUCUUUCAGUCGAGAAGAAAAGGCUGCAGUGAAUAACUGUAGUUUAUGACGGUAUCGACAGAAGAAGCACCGGCUAACUACGUGCCAGCAGCCGCGGUAAUACGUAGGGUGCGAGCGUUAAUCGGAAUUACUGGGCGUAAAGGGUGCGCAGGCGGUUUUGUAAGUCAGAUGUGAAAUCCCCGGGCUUAACCUGGGAAUUGCGUUUGAAACUACAAGACUAGAGUGUGGCAGAGGGAGGUGGAAUUCCAUGUGUAGCAGUGAAAUGCGUAGAGAUAUGGAAGAACAUCGAUGGCGAAGGCAGCCUCCUGGGUUAACACUGACGCUCAUGCACGAAAGCGUGGGGAGCAAACAGGAUUAGAUACCCUAGUAGUCCACGCCCUAAACGAUGUCAACUAGUUGUCGGGCCUUACUAGGCUUGGUAACGAAGCUAACGCGUGAAGUUGACCGCCUGGGGAGUACGGUCGCAAGAUUAAAACUCAAAGGAAUUGACGGGGACCCGCACAAGCGGUGGAUUAUGUGGAUUAAUUCGAUGCAACGCGAAAAACCUUACCUACCCUUGACAUGUAGCGAAUUUUCCAGAGAUGGAUUAGUGCCUUCGGGAACGCUAACACAGGUGCUGCAUGGCUGUCGUCAGCUCGUGUCGUGAGAUGUUGGGUUAAGUCCCGCAACGAGCGCAACCCUUGUCAUUAAUUGCCAUCAUUUAGUUGGGCACUUUAAUGGGACUGCCGGUGACAAACCGGAGGAAGGUGGGGAUGACGUCAAGUCCUCAUGGCCCUUAUGGGUAGGGCUUCACACGUAAUACAAUGGCG
Molecule: ribosomal RNA, 905 nt
Filed under: uncultured beta proteobacterium
Lineage: Bacteria; Pseudomonadati; Pseudomonadota; Betaproteobacteria
Description: bacterial SSU rRNA
Rfam family: Bacterial small subunit ribosomal RNA
Source: RNAcentral